UAAUUUUCUCCCCCCAUACACACAUUCCAAGUGGAUUGAUCGAGGUCAAGACCCAAAGAUGAGGCAUGUGUUGUUCAUCGUGUUCCUCCUUGUUGGAUACCUUGCAGCGGCGUCAGAGUGUAAGCUAUCAUACAUAUUGGCCCUGUUUGGAUACUCUAACUUAGCUAGAGGUUAGAGUUAGUUUCUAGCUCGUGACUAACCCUAAACUAACUCUAACCAAAGAGGUGUUUUGAUGAGGGUUAGAUUGAUAAUAGAUGCACUUGAUUGAGAGAGAAAAGUGAUUUUUCAGUGGGCCCCAUGAGAUAUAGCUCCAAUUAACACAUCUUGGCUGAUGGGAUAGAGAGAGAAAAAUGAUUUUUUUAGUGGACCCCAUGAGAACUAGCUUCAAUUAGCAGCUCUUGGAUGGAAUAGUUUUUUGGAUGGGUUAGAUGCAACUAGCUCCAACUAAACCGUCAUGUUUGGAUACUUCAGGGCUAUUUGAGCCCCCAACUAGCUCAAACUAAUUCUAACCCAUGGAUCCAAACAGGAUCAUUGGUGUCAUCUUUUCGUGUAGACGAACACAUAACACUAUUAUUAUUGCGUGCAAACAGGUCGUCUGGAGGUUGGAAGCAGGCAUAGCGGUGGCCACACAAGCACUAGUAUAACUGCUCCCGUUUCGGCCAACUCAAUGGCGUUGGUAGACGAGAGCAAGAUUGUGGUGAAGUUCUGCACUCAGGUAUUCUGCGACAUUAAAGAUUUGCACAAGGGUGUCUGUUACUGCUGCGAGAAACCGGGCCGUCCGUGCUAUCAGACGCGUAGUGAGUGCCUUGACAAUUGCCCUCUUUGUAACCCCGAGUGCUCCCCGCCUUUAUUGUGAACAAACCAAACGACAGAUGGGUGAUGAACUCUUCUGAAGGUAUGGGGUGGUCCAAAAGAUGAUAUUAGUGCCAUGCACAAGGAAAAGAUGUCAUUAGUGCCACAUAAGAAAAUAUAUUAUUACUACAAUUUGAGUCAAAUGUUGUACCCCUUUUCAUUUUGAUAAUCCCAAGAUAUGAAAGAUAUCUAUAAUAUCAAUAGUUUGGUGAUGGAUUGGAAGCUUGUACUACAUGGACUGAUGCUCCAACUGAUACUUGUUCAACGACUUUACAUCUCCUCUCUUAAGAAGCG
RNAcentral lists this long non-coding RNA (1146 nucleotides) under Hordeum vulgare. RNAcentral describes it as "long non-coding RNA (HVUL_LNC000119)". Lineage: Eukaryota; Viridiplantae; Streptophyta; Magnoliopsida; Poales; Poaceae. The record is from RNAcentral.